RNA transcript from Haliotis rubra (blacklip abalone), 1510 nucleotides. It is a transcript of the gene named ribonuclease P protein subunit p14-like, with no coding region annotated. The transcript has 8 exons. The record is from RefSeq and is a predicted model, not a curated record. Lineage: Eukaryota; Metazoa; Mollusca; Gastropoda; Lepetellida; Haliotidae.
CAUAGAAAGAGGGAAAAUGUCAGCUUCCAUCACCAUACUUGAUAUGUGACAACGAAUAAUCAAACUGCUUUUGUACCGUUUGACAGUUAGUGUGAGUCUGUUGCUGAAAGAUUUCCAGGAAAAGGCUGUCAUGACAGAGACAACAGGAGAGAAGGAUACUCAGUACCAGCGGGUUGUCAGCAAGGGACCACUGCCUUUCCAAUACAUUAAAGUCAAACUAGAAUUUGAAGAUGGACAACCUCGAGAUGUGGGAGAAUCUCAGAUGAAGGCUCUCAUCAGUGGCAUGAUCAAGGAAAUCUACGGAGAGGUGGGCUGUAGCCUGACAUCAGAUGUGUUGAAGUAUUCUCUGAAAGACUGUACAGCAAUUCUCAGAGUGACACACAAGAAUUUAGUGAAGGUGUGGAGUUCAUUGACACUUUGCAGCAGUUUUAAGGGAGAACCAUGUGCAUUUAGAGUUCUUCAGACUUCACCACAUCUCAUGGCAUUAGCUGUCAAUUCCCGUGACCUUGACUUUUGAUGCGAUGACCUUGAUAUUUACAGAGGGACUAGCUGUGAUCUCCUGUGAUCUCCUGGGUAAUAAAGGUCAGAUAUGAAGACGAACAGUGUCAAGUCUUCUGUUGGAAGUAAUAGCAUUGGUCACACCCUGAGGAUAGUGUCCUAUUGAAGUACAUGUAACACAAUCACAACCUGAAAACAUGUGUCUGUGGGGAAACUAUCAACAACCUCAUCUUUAUCCAAAUAUGUAGGAUAAUAUGUUGAUAGAAGUCAUUGUUCCGAUAUGAAAACUUUUGGUUUUGCUUUGAAACCUCCAGGACAUGUAAAGUACAUCAUUAAAUGAAUGUGAGCAGUAAUAUCAAGUCAGAUGAAGUGCAGGAACUCAUGGAACCCUGGCUGACGACAGUAAGGACAAAGUGCUUGUUUAUUAAUGAUCAGACCUGGGACAAUUAUGAGGUAAUGCCCUUAUUUAGUGAGGUGUUAAUGGAAUUUACACUUAAGGUAUCGGCAGUUGCUGAUAGUUUAACAUAUUUGUACAAUCUGUGAAUAACACACCUUUAACUGAUGAAAAAUGAAUGGAACAUUAGAGUUUAAUGAACCUGUUAGUUAAUGAAAUGUUAAUACAACUUGUCAGUGAACAUCUAAUGCACUCCUCGACAUUACAUACGUUUCUGUAUUUCUUCGCCUUUCUCACAGAGGAAGUAUUAGAUCAUGAAACAAAUAUUUAAUCGUGAAUGAUAAUGUGUGAUACAUCCUGUCAUGUAUAAUAUAUCUGGAACAAAAUCCUGGUGUUUGACACUCUCUUGGUUUGUGUCUACUUGGGGGAAUCACUCAGAGAAGACAUCAACAAAAUGAGAAAAAAAUUAUGCAGUCGUACAGAAACUUUGCAUGCCCAUCAUUUGGGAUUUUGAUGAAUUCGUUACUUCGUGUUGAUGAAUUAACACAAAGAACAAUACAAAUUUCCUUAAGUGCUCUUAUGUUUUUUGUUUUAUCGAAUUAAGAUAUUUUCCUACCA